GUCUCCUCCCAUGAAUCACAAAUGUCCUUAAUGGCAUUUAAGGAUUGCUAUUAAGGACAUUUGUGAUUCUUGGGAGGAGGU
Molecule: microRNA precursor, 81 nt
Filed under: Macaca fascicularis (crab-eating macaque)
Lineage: Eukaryota; Metazoa; Chordata; Mammalia; Primates; Cercopithecidae
Also listed under: 2 other names
Description: mir-4477 microRNA precursor family
Rfam family: mir-4477 microRNA precursor family
Source: Rfam by way of RNAcentral